GUGUUGGGGAGGAGGGCCCGAGCUCGGCCCUUGCUUGACCCCCGACCGAUUGCCACUGACACCGACCAAGAUCCACGUGCGUCUCUACCUCAGCCGAGGAUGGCCGAGUGCCCAGCGGACCCCAGGUGUGACCCUCGCUGAUGCCCGGGAGGAUUCCGCCGGCAGACGGAGAGGAACUAGUGUCUGCAGGGAGGACAGUUUCCCCCGAAGUUGCCAGGUAAGUUAUCAACUGGUCCCCAUCUCAUGCAGCAAUAUAUGUAUGCAAGCAGUGUGACUUGCUGGGUAAAGCACCAUCCUGGGAGUCAGAAGGACCUGGGUUCUGAUCCCAGC
Molecule: long non-coding RNA, 330 nt
Organism: Tachyglossus aculeatus (Australian echidna)
Lineage: Eukaryota; Metazoa; Chordata; Mammalia; Monotremata; Tachyglossidae
Exons: 3
Source: RefSeq, a predicted model, not a curated record